RNAcentral lists this ribosomal RNA (358 nucleotides) under Hysterangium sp. SM10100. Its description in RNAcentral is "SSU rRNA". It matches the Rfam family "Bacterial small subunit ribosomal RNA", at positions 557 to 962 of the family's 1533-position model. Lineage: Eukaryota; Fungi; Basidiomycota; Agaricomycetes; Hysterangiales; Hysterangiaceae. The record is from RNAcentral.
GGCGUAAGGGUUUGUAGGCAGCUUUAAUAUUAUUAAAGAUUGAAUCAAAUAGAGGUCAAGAGAAUUCCUAGAUUAGGGUUGAUAUCUGUAUAAACUAGGAAGAAUUCUAAUUAGCGAAGGCACUUUUCUAUCUAAUGAUUGACGCUGAGAAACGAAGGGGAGGAUCGACAAUAGGAUUAGAGACCCUGGCAUCCCUCUCUGUAAACGAUGAAUGGUAGUUGCUAGUAAUAAUUAUUAGUGACGAUGCUAACGCGUUAACCAUUCCGCCUUGUGAGUACGACUGCAAAGUUGAAAACAAAAAAAUUAGUCGGUUUCGGAGCAAACGAAGUGAAGCAUGUUAUUUAAUUCGAUAAUCCGC